RNAcentral lists this ribosomal RNA (587 nucleotides) under uncultured bacterium. RNAcentral describes it as "bacterial SSU rRNA". It matches the Rfam family "Bacterial small subunit ribosomal RNA", at positions 338 to 916 of the family's 1533-position model. The record is from RNAcentral.
CCUACGGGAGGCAGCAGUGGGGAAUUUUGGACAAUGGGCGCAAGCCUGAUCCAGCAAUGCCGCGUGAGUGAAGAAGGCCUUCGGGUUGUAAAGCUCUUUUGUCAGGGAAGAAACGGUGGGAGCUAAUAUCUUCCACUAAUGACGGUACCUGAAGAAUAAGCACCGGCUAACUACGUGCCAGCAGCCGCGGUAAUACGUAGGGUGCAAGCGUUAAUCGGAAUUACUGGGCGUAAAGCGUGCGCAGGCGGUUUUGUAAGUCUGUCGUGAAAGCCCCGGGCUCUAACCUGGGAAUUGCGAUGGAGACUGCAAGGCUUGAAUCUGGCAGAGGGGGGUAGAAUUCCACGUGUAGCAGUGAAAUGCGUAGAGAUGUGGAGGAACACCGAUGGCGAAGGCAGCCCCCUGGGUCAAGAUUGACGCUCAUGCACGAAAGCGUGGGGAGCAAACAGGAUUAGAUACCCUGGUAGUCCACGCCCUAAACGAUGUCUACUAGUUGUCGGGUUUUAAUUAACUUGGUAACGCAGCUAACGCGUGAAGUAGACCGCCUGGGGAGUACGGUCGCAAGAUUAAAACUCAAAAGGAAUUGACGG